UGAGGUAGUUCUUCAUGAGAUGGUUGG
This 27-nucleotide non-coding RNA is filed under the name Rattus norvegicus (Norway rat). The record is from RNAcentral. Lineage: Eukaryota; Metazoa; Chordata; Mammalia; Rodentia; Muridae.